Molecule: ribosomal RNA, 492 nt
Filed under: uncultured bacterium
Lineage: Bacteria
Description: partial 16S ribosomal RNA
Rfam family: Bacterial small subunit ribosomal RNA
Source: RNAcentral
AGUGAACGCUGGCGGUAGGCCUAACACAUGCAAGUCGAACGGCAGCGCAGUAAGAGCUUGCUCUUACGGGUGGCGAGUGGCGGACGGGUGAGGAAUACAUCGGAAUCUACUUUUUCGUGGGGGAUAACGUAGGGAAACUUACGCUAAUACCGCAUACGACCUACGGGUGAAAGCAGGGGAACUUCGGACCUUGCGCGAUUGAAUGAGCCGAUGUCGGAUUAGCUAGUUGGCGGGGUAAAGGCCCACCAAGGCGACGAUCCGUAGCUGGUCUGAGAGGAUGAUCAGCCACACUGGAACUGAGACACGGUCCAGACUCCUACGGGAGGCAGCAGUGGGGAAUAUUGGACAAUGGGCGCAAGCCUGAUCCAGCCAUACCGCGUGGGUGAAGAAGGCCUUCGGGUUGUAAAGCCCUUUUGUUGGGAAAGAAAAGCAGCAGGUUAAUACCCCGCUGUUCUGACGGUACCCAAAGAAUAAGCACCGGCUAACUUCGUG